RNAcentral lists this ribosomal RNA (250 nucleotides) under uncultured bacterium. RNAcentral's name for it is "partial 16S ribosomal RNA". It matches the Rfam family "Bacterial small subunit ribosomal RNA", at positions 524 to 773 of the family's 1533-position model. The record is from RNAcentral.
UACGUAGGUGGCGAGCGUUACUCGGAAUUACUAGGCGUAAAGCGCGUGUAGGCGGGAGCCUAAGUCUGUGGUUAAAUUUCGCAGCCCAACUGCGAACUGUCCACGGAAACUGGGUUUCUUGAGUGAGGUAGAGGGAACCGGAAUUCCAGGUGUAGCGGUAAAAUGCGUAGAUAUCUGGAAGAACGCCCAAGGCGAAGGCAGGUUCCUGGGCCUUUACUGACGCUGAGACGCGAAAGCUAGGGGAGCAAAC